UCUCAGCUGUUUCUCGUCCUGGCGCUUUCUGUACCCGGUUACUCGCGUAGCUUCAAAAGGCCGCCGGACAUAGUGCGGAUCGACAGAAAAGGUCCCGGAGCCAUGAAGCCGCCGCUUCCCGGUCUCCCGAGCUGCCGGGCUGCCCCUCCAGCCUUUUGCGGCCGCCGGCGGCCCGGAGGAACCCCUUCGCCCGCCUGGACAACCGGCUGUGGGUAGCCGCGGAGGCCUGGGACGGGCUGCCCCGCGGCCAACAGGAGGUGCCUUGCUCGAUAGUAAUUAAGAAAAUGAUUUGCCUUGGGAAGAGACAUUAUCUGAAAGACCAACAGUUACUGAACUAGCCCAGGCUUUACACCUAUCAUUCUCUGAAUCGGAUAGUCUGUCCUCAGAAAAUACUAAGUUACCUGUGGACUGCUGAGUAUUAAAACCCAACUCCUUGUCACCUCUUCUCAACUCUUUACCUGGGCAGAUCAUUUGAAAGUGCAGGAAGAGGCUCAAGGUCUUGUCCAGCAUUGUAGAGCAACAGAAGUUACUUUGCCUCAAAGUAUAAAGGUGACACGGAAGAAUCAUUCUGUAUAAUUACUUGAAUGUAUUCUUGUAAAUUCUUAUCCAUGGAAGUGGGGUACACUUACAUUCUCAAAUAAGGAUCCCUAAACACAUUUAUGGUUCAAAUAAUCCCCAGGAGCUUUCCCUCUGAUGUUUCUUACCAUAAUAAGCAAAAAAUUCAUAGUGAUAAGUGUUGGGGUUUCCAGGACCCCCAGCCUUGGGCAUGGUCAAGAUGGCGCCUGACGCUGAGCCAAAAGCGGCCAACUAUACAGUAAACAACCAGCGAAUUCCAAUGAUUG
This is a long non-coding RNA of Sciurus carolinensis (gray squirrel), 842 nucleotides long. RefSeq lists it as uncharacterized. The transcript is spliced from 4 exons. NCBI's taxonomy places the organism in Eukaryota, Metazoa, Chordata, Mammalia, Rodentia, Sciuridae. The record is from RefSeq and is a predicted model, not a curated record.